AAGAAAGUAGGGUAUGGUCGCAAAUGCAAAACUAAAACAUGAUGUUGAUCAUCUGUAACGGCCCAAUCCUACCGCUAGCAGAUAUUAUUCUCUUUGAGAUUUCCCUUCCGGACUUCCCAUCAAGAUUUUAAAACGCGUCUUCUAGGGAGAGGGGUCCCCACAAGGUUUU
Long non-coding RNA from Cucurbita moschata (crookneck pumpkin), 169 nucleotides. RefSeq lists it as uncharacterized. NCBI's taxonomy places the organism in Eukaryota, Viridiplantae, Streptophyta, Magnoliopsida, Cucurbitales, Cucurbitaceae. The transcript is spliced from 3 exons. The record is from RefSeq and is a predicted model, not a curated record.